This is a long non-coding RNA of Protopterus annectens (West African lungfish), 716 nucleotides long. RefSeq lists it as uncharacterized. The transcript has 2 exons. The record is from RefSeq and is a predicted model, not a curated record. NCBI's taxonomy places the organism in Eukaryota, Metazoa, Chordata, Ceratodontiformes, Protopteridae.
UGAAACCGCAGCAAUGUAAGCUUGCAUUGACAACCUUCGUUAGUACCAGUGACUUCAGCAGUUUAGUUUGCUGUCUCCUACAACGCGUUUAACGCGUUGGCUACGAAUUUUCCUGCAUCCGCAAUGGGAAACAGUCUUAUCUAGUGCAUGACUGAAAUUAUUUUUACGUCUAUACGGUUCGCCAAGGAGUAAACACUACACUUAGCAUUUCAUUUCUACCUUUUCUUUGCACAUGAAUCUAACAGAUGCUGCAAGAAAGCUAGCACAACCAACAUAGCAGGCCGUGAUGCAAAGCCAGUAGGAAAAGGUCAGUUAUCUUCCGUCCUCCCGUGUUUCGGAUGACAGCUACAGGUUUGCCAUGGCAAUGGCACUAUGUAACUUGGGGUGUACAUCUGGAGAGAUGGCGUUGAAAGAAAAUACCCGUUAAACCACACUUUAAGGAAUUAAGAAGAACAUCCUGCAAGAAGAUAGUUGAUCUUUCCAUUUGCCUUUUUGGGCAGGAAGAGGAAUUUCUUUGUUUAAUAAACUGAGGAGACAUUUAAAGGAUCGUUAUAUGACUGAAAAAAAAAAUAACUGCUAAGAGUGACCCAAAGUGCAAUGACAUUUUUUUAACAAAGAAUAACAUUUUUCUGUGUAGCUGUGAAUGUAUGACAUUGAUGAAAUGCAAAGGUUGCAAUUAGCUCAAUAAAUAGAAAUAAUGCAUUUGUAAUUGUUAA